RNAcentral lists this ribosomal RNA (250 nucleotides) under uncultured bacterium. RNAcentral describes it as "partial 16S ribosomal RNA". It matches the Rfam family "Bacterial small subunit ribosomal RNA", at positions 334 to 601 of the family's 1533-position model. The record is from RNAcentral.
UCUCCCUACGGGACGCAGCAGUGGGGAAUAUUGCACAAUGGGGGGAACCCUGAUGCAGCGACGCCGCGUGGGUGAAGGAGUACUUCGGUACGUAAAGCCCUAUCAGCAGGAAAGAAAAUGACGGUACCUGACUAAGAAGCCCCGGCUAACUACGUGCCAGCAGCCGCGGUAAUACGUAGGGGGCAAGCGUUAUCCGGAUUUACUGGGUGUAAAGGGGGCGCAGACGGCGAUGCGAGCCAGGAGUGAAAGC